AUUGAACGCUGGCGGAAUGCUUUACACAUGCAAGUCGAACGGCAGCACGGACUUCGGUCUGGUGGCGAGUGGCGAACGGGUGAGUGAUGUAUCGGAACGUGCCCAGUCGUGGGGGAUAACGUAGUGAAAAUUACGCUAAUACCGCAUACGAGCUAUGGAUGAAAGCGGGGGAUCGCAAGACCUCGCGCGAUUGGAGCGGCCGAUAUCAUGUUAGGUAGUUGGUGGGGUAAAGGCCCACCAAGCCAACGAUCUGUAGCUGGUCUGAGAGGACGACCAGCCACACUGGAACUGAGACACGGUCCAGACUCCUACGGGAGGCAGCAGUGGGGAAUUUUGGACAAUGGGCGAAAGCCUGAUCCAGCCAUUCCGCGUGCAGGAUGAAGGCCCUCGGGUUGUAAACUGCUUUUGUACAGAACGAAAAGGUUUCUACUAAUACUAGGAGCUCAUGACGGUACUGUAAGAAUAAGCACCGGCUAACUACGUGCCAGCCGCCGCCGUAA
Molecule: ribosomal RNA, 500 nt
Filed under: uncultured bacterium
Lineage: Bacteria
Description: partial 16S ribosomal RNA
Rfam family: Bacterial small subunit ribosomal RNA
Source: RNAcentral